Molecule: ribosomal RNA, 411 nt
Filed under: Triticum aestivum (bread wheat)
Lineage: Eukaryota; Viridiplantae; Streptophyta; Magnoliopsida; Poales; Poaceae
Description: partial small subunit ribosomal RNA
Source: RNAcentral
AUGGCUUGUGUGAAGUCAGACAAAUAUUCUAUCAAAUUCAAUGGACAACUGCUUGAGAGUUUCAUCCCUUCUAGAGGACUGAGGCAAGGUGACCCUUUAUCACUGUUCUUAUUUCUUUUUGUUGUUGAUGCCCUAUCUGCUUUAUUCUCAAAAUCAAUGGAGGAAGGGUCCCUAAAGGGAGUGUCUAUCUGUCGUGGUGCACCAGUUAUUUCCCACCUGCUUUUUUUCGAUGAUACUAUGUUGAUGUUUGAGGCGUCUGGCCAGCAAGCGAGCAUUGUCAAGGGGCUAUUGAACACUUAUACUUCUGCAACGGGCAAGCUCAUUAACCCAGAGAAGUGUUCCAUCCUUUUUUCAGACAAUUGUUCGACUGUGGUGGUAGAUGAAAUCAAGAGCACACUUGCCGUUACGUAA